CUUCCUACGGGGCGCAGCAGUGAGGAAUAUUGGUCAAUGGGCGGAAGCCUGAACCAGCCAAGUCGCGUGAGGGAAUAAGGCCCUACGGGUCGUAAACCUCUUUUGCCGGGGAGCCCGGUCGGGGACGUGUCCCGGCCCGGAGAGUCCCCGGAGAAAAAGCAUCGGCUCCCUCCGUGCCAGCAGCCGCGGUAAUCCGGCGGCUGCGAGCGUUAUCCGGCUUUAUUGGGUUU
Molecule: ribosomal RNA, 230 nt
Filed under: uncultured bacterium
Lineage: Bacteria
Description: partial 16S ribosomal RNA
Rfam family: Bacterial small subunit ribosomal RNA
Source: RNAcentral